This 1320-nucleotide long non-coding RNA is filed under the name Chlamydomonas reinhardtii. Its description in RNAcentral is "long non-coding RNA (CREI_LNC001208)". The record is from RNAcentral. Lineage: Eukaryota; Viridiplantae; Chlorophyta; Chlorophyceae; Chlamydomonadales; Chlamydomonadaceae.
GCGGGUACGGCUGACUUCGAGCCGUUCACGAUGCUGCUGGCCAUGGCACGCCUGUCCGAUACCGUGGUGGACGGUGUGCCGCAGACGGCGGGCUGCGCCGCCACCCAGGCGCGGGCCAUCGAGCGUGCCAUCACAGAGUGGGACCUGCAGGCAGCAUGCAAGGAGAUGUGGGCGGUCGUUGACAGCGCGAAGACAAACCUGGGCCAGCACAACGGCGUGGCGGCGCAGCUGCAGCGAUCGCUAGGCAUCGACAUCCACAUCAUGCGGUGCUACGCACAUAUCCUACACAACUCGCUGCACGCCGGCAUCGUGAAGGGCUGGGGAGAUGACCCGACCAAGAAGCGCGAGGGGUUCAACUCCCCCGUUGUCUUCCUACUCGAGCAAUCUGCAAGCUUCAUCAACCGGCACGACAGCUACCGCCCCGAGGACACGCCAGUCUGCCCAGAUGCCUGCGCAAUGCGCUGGGGCAUCUACUGCACGCUUGCGCUGUGGUUCUGUAUGCACACCACAUACUUCCAUGGCGUCGUCGCUGCAGUGGCUGCGCGCGGAGGCAGCAUCAGUAACGCCGACGGCGCCAUGAUGGAGGGCUGGAAGAAUGCGGAGCAGGUGCUGCAGGUGGCCGUGCUGGCGGACUGGGGCCACUACUUCCUGGAGCAUGAGCUGAAGUGGGCUGAGUCGGGCGGCGGUUUCCAUGCGCUCAAGCUGCACGCGCGCAAGCACCGCGCGGUGGGCUACUUCGCUGAGGCUCUCGGGAACCCAGCAGCUGUGUUCACGCGCACAGUGGAAACGGCGCGCAGGGUUGGGUCGGAGUGGGAGGCAGCGCUGCGCGUGGUGGUGCGGCCGUUUCUGGACAACUUUGUGGUCUACUACGGCCGCGAGACUGCCUUCCUGCACAAGGCGCCCCUGCGGCUGGCUGAGCUGGCCUGUCCCGAGCGCGGUCAGCUGGCGGCGGCGCAGUUCCUCGCGCGCGCAGCGACAGCGCCAAGCAAUGAGUGGCGGCAGUUCGGCGCGUUUGGGGUGGAGAAGCUGGGCGACAGCAUCGCGCGCCUGGCCGCGCACGGCUACGUGGACCCACCCCUCCAUGAAUGGCUGCAGCUGACCUUUGGCGCGCUUCCCAUCCUGAACCACCACAGCGAGAACAUCCUCAAGGUGGCCAAGCACGUCGACAUGCGCAUGAAGCCUCACCUGACACAGGCGCAGGUGAAGUUGCGGCGCGACAGGCCCCAGUUCCGCAUCCUCCUCACACCGCCAGCGCUGACGUGGGCAAGGGUGAAGGUGCGGCAGCGGCGACUUGCAGCCAAGGCAGUGAAGGCUGCCGCU